Sander lucioperca (pikeperch) is the source of this 230-nucleotide long non-coding RNA. RefSeq lists it as uncharacterized. The record is from RefSeq and is a predicted model, not a curated record. The transcript is spliced from 3 exons. NCBI's taxonomy places the organism in Eukaryota, Metazoa, Chordata, Actinopteri, Perciformes, Percidae.
GUUGGAUGUUGAAGUUGAAGCUCCUUUUCUACACAGACCUGCUGAGGACAGAAAGUUGAGACAGAAGAGAGCUGCACAAUGAUGAAGUUCAUGGCUGAAAGUUGAUGUUUCCUCUCCAGAUGAAGGUGUGGACUCUGCUAUGAGUCAGUGUGAGGACAGAGAGGAGGGAGUUCCUCCCUCUAAAACCACUCUGUGUGGGGAACAUGACAGCCAGACCAAAGCUCAGAGGU